This 140-nucleotide small nucleolar RNA is filed under the name Ornithorhynchus anatinus (platypus). The record is from RNAcentral. Lineage: Eukaryota; Metazoa; Chordata; Mammalia; Monotremata; Ornithorhynchidae.
CCCCUCUUAGGGUCACACCUGGAGGGUUUCCAGUACUCUACCAGUCUCGACUAUGGGAGGGAGAGCCAAGCCAGAGGCCAACCCAUUCCAUUCCUAGCUUGGCUCAGUGGCUAGCGAGGGGAAGGCCAUCUGCUACAAGU